RNAcentral lists this long non-coding RNA (1289 nucleotides) under Linum usitatissimum (flax). RNAcentral describes it as "long non-coding RNA (LUSI_LNC003302)". Lineage: Eukaryota; Viridiplantae; Streptophyta; Magnoliopsida; Malpighiales; Linaceae. The record is from RNAcentral.
ACUCAGUGAUUCAAUCAUUCUCAAUCUUACAAACUCAUAUCUCAUUCGAUUAUUAUAGUCUUUCAUUAGUUCUUUUCACUUUCAUGAGUUCCUUCCUCUAAGACUCUGCUUUUCUAUAUAACCGUCCAACAAUUUGUCUCUAAUUCUUCAUCAUUAUCAGCGUUCAACAGGUAGGCUACAGAUACGAGGCGAAAGCUCAUAAUAUAUAAGUUUAUGCGGCCAAAAUUAUAAGAUUAGGGUUAGGACUAUUUUUAACUAAAUUAAGUCAAUGUUUUUACUAUUAAUUUAUUUUAUUGAUUGAAUAUUUGAUUUAGGUUUCUCACCCUUUUUUAUUUUUUAUUUUUUUUUCAGCAAAGUUUAUUUUGAUUUUCAGAAUUGUUACUUACGUGUUAUGCGUCGUUUGGAUGGGGGGGUUGAAACUCGAUGAAGAUUUGGUUCUAAAUCAUAUGUUUAGACACUUAAAUCGGAAAGAUAUUUAGGGUGAUUUGAAAUUAUCUGUUGGGUUCGAAGAGAAUUUCAUGGAUGAUUUCAAAUCUCCCAGGGAGAUAGAGAUUUCAAAAGAGAGAUGCGAGAUUUGAAAAUUUUCAUCAAAAUUAAUUAUUAUUUUCAUAAAAUUAUAUCAUCAUCCAAACGACGCGUUAAUCUUUUAAAUGGGUUAGCUAUGUGGGUAAUUGAUUAUAAUUUUUUGGAUGAGACAAAGAUGGAAGAGCUAAUAGAGAAUUUUAUUUCAGAAAAUGUUAAACAGGUAUUUACUUUGGUAAUUCUUUUAUGAAUAUUUAUGCAUUUUUUAUUUGUUUAUUUUUAACAUAUUAUAAUUAAAUAUGAAUAUGAUAAUUCGUGGUUGACAAUGAUUCUUGACAGGUACAUCGAUGCGCUUGAGAAUUUUGAAAACGAGCAGAGAAAGGAGAGGGAUUUGUUAGCUAGGUUUCACGGAAAGUCCAUGAACAACUAGUGGAACAGAUGCAUCGAUGAUGUGAUCAGAGCUUGUGAAAUCCAAGAGCUCCAGAGUGCUUAUAUAGAAUUGAAUAGCAAGGUUGACCUAAGGAGGAUCGAAGUCAUGUUGGGGAUUAAUAGUUUUAAUAAUCCAACUGAUUCAAUCAACAUUAAUCAUAGCAAUGUAAUGAAUGUGAAUGAUGAUGGUGGUGCCAUGUAAUGAAUGUGAAUGAUGAUGGUGGUGCCAUGUAAUGAAUGUGAAUAUGAAUGUAACUGUAAUGAAGUUACAUGAAUUGAUAUUUUAAACUCAUAUCAUCCUAAUUUAUCUUUCUCCAACUACAAUCGCUAUUUAAGAA